GUGCUGCAUCACGGAACAAACGCUAAGGUUGCAGAUAUUUGUGAAGAAGAAGUGAUAUGGUUGGCUGUGUCCUCACCCAAGUCUCAUCUUGAAUUACAGCUCCCAUAAUCUCCAUGUGUUGUGGGAAGGACCUGGGGGGAGGUAAUUGAAUCAUGGGGGCGGGUUUUCUCGUGCUGUUCUCAUGACAGUAAAUAGGUCUCAAGAGAUCUGAUGGUUUUAUAAAGGGCAGUUCCCCUGCACAUAUUCUCUUGCCUGCCACCAUGUAAGAUGUACACUUG
This 278-nucleotide long non-coding RNA is filed under the name Homo sapiens (human). RNAcentral's name for it is "HSALNT0356666". The record is from RNAcentral. Lineage: Eukaryota; Metazoa; Chordata; Mammalia; Primates; Hominidae.